GAUGAACGCUAGCUACAGGCUUAACACAUGCAAGUCGAGGGGAAACGACAUCGUAAGCUUGCUUUUGAUGGGCGUCGACCGGCGCACGGGUUAGUAACGCGUAUCCAACCUGCCCAUCACUUGGGGAUAACCUUGCGAAUGUAAGACUAAUACCCAAUGAUAUCUCUAGAAGACAUCUGAACGAGAUUAAAGAUUUAUCGGUGAUGGAUGGGGAUGCGUCUGAUUAGCUUGUUGGCGAGGUAACGGCCCACCAAGGCAACGAUCAGUAGGGGUUCUGAGAGGAAGGUCCACCAGAUUGGAGCCAAGACACAGACCAAACUGCUACGGGAGGGAGCAGUGAGGAAUAUUGGGCAAUGAGGGAGAGCCUGAACCAGCCAAGUGGCGUGCAGAAAGACGGCGCUAGGAGUUGUAAACUGCUUUUAUAAGGGAAUAAAGUGAGAGUAGUGACUCUUUUUGUAGGUACCAUAUGAAUAAGGACCGGCUAAUUCCGUG
This 492-nucleotide ribosomal RNA is filed under the name uncultured bacterium. Its description in RNAcentral is "partial 16S ribosomal RNA". It matches the Rfam family "Bacterial small subunit ribosomal RNA", at positions 28 to 507 of the family's 1533-position model. The record is from RNAcentral.